UUUUUCAUUCAGCAGGAUGUGUGACAUGCUUUCCACAGAAACCUCUCACCCCCUUGCUGAAUUUAUCUUCUUUCUUGACAACCAUUGUCGACAAUGGAUUGACAUGGAGAGAAUAUACAUUAAGGUAAAGAGUAUGCAUAAGCUUGCUUCCACAUCUUUCUCAGUCUCUCGCUCUAUUUCUUCUGAUUAGCUUAUUGGUGAAUUCUGAAGCUUUCUUGAUUGGAUCAGUGGUCGAGACGAUAGAGAGCCUUGCAUUGGAGACCACAAAGAGGCGUACCUAUAAAAUCUGUGUCUAUACAUUACUGAUUACUCCCUGGGCUCUUUGAAUAUUUCCUCCAUCCCUAAGUGUUGAUUAAGAGACAUACUUCUUGCUUCUCUUUGCUUAAUUAAUAACCAUUUCCAGCUUUUUGUAGAUAUCCAAAGGAAUCAGACAAAAUCAUGCUUGCGAAGCAGACUUCCUCAGGGUGAUUAAGUUGCUUAACUAGACAAUAAGAGUGGUGCUCGAGUAUAUGAAUGAUCCAAAGGAACAUGGAAAGAAGAGAGGAAAUAAUCUUCUUGCUUCUGUGCAAGUGAUUGGAAGGGAGUUUUGAGUACUCCUUAUGGAAGAACAUUGAUAGUCUCUGUCACUUCAGCUUUCACUGAACAUUGAUAAUCCAGGUUCGUUGGCUAAGGAUCCUGUCCAUUUUUUUACUCUAUUACAACGCUGUUACCGUAAUGCCUCCCAGGACAACUUGGUCUUACUUUUUUUACAGCCCUUUUGGGUCCACUUGGUUCUUACAAGUUAAAAUAUUUAGCAAUCGUCAAUAGCAGAGCUGAACAUUUGUUCGAAGUGAUCAACUCGAGAGAUGAUGUGCUUAGGACGUGGAUGAGACGGUGUAUGUAUCUCAGGUAUGUGGAAGCUAGAUUAGCGGAUAGGAUUCUCUAUGCAGAUGAGAUAUUGAAAUAUGGGUUUUGCUUGAAUGUGAUUAAGACUUCUUUAUGUCCUUUGGAAGUUUUGAAGAAUAUGCAGGAGGAGGCUGUGAGGGAUGAUGAUAUUGUCUUCAAGGGUCUACCAUCCACUGAGCCAUUCUAGGUGUUCAAUGGGAUUAGUAAAUACUGUAAGAAGAGGGUUACAACUCCUGGUAUCAUCUCUCUGGCCAAGGGUGUGAAAGCAUAGUUUGAACCUCAUCCUCCGAUUGUUACUCAUGCUUGAAUGAUCUAACGAGCAUAGAGAUUCACCAAAAAUACCAGAUCGCUUGAUUGUGUGUAGUGGUUAGUAAGCAUCAUAGGCCGCUACUGUUUACCCAAUGCAUCCAUGGCUAGCCACCUCUUCUUACUAAGAAGCGUCAGCCCCAAUAAAUGGAAUUGUAAGGUUAGCUUCUUUGUAAGUUUCUCUUCGUGAAUCCAAUCUGAGGAGCGUAGAUAUGGGGAAAAAUAUAGCUCCAGAUGCAGAGCUUCACUUUUAUAUAGGCAAAGACAGAUUUGUGAGAAUAACUCUUUACACCGAAAGGUCGAUUCUUCUGAUGGCUUGCACACGGGUUAAUGGCAUCAACAAGCAAGGAAACAUCACUAUGCUAGAUAAAAAUGGAGGGGAGAAACAUGUGGUGAAUCUUCUGCAGAACAAAAUAAAAAACAGAACCAUCUUAAUGUGGAGCAUCUUUGCCUCACGUCUGUGUAUUCCGUUCGACGUUGGCUAGCAGUGGCGGAAAGUUUUGUUCUAUUACUUGGGUUUUAAGUUAUCAUUUGGCUGCUGGAACAUGAGUUAAAAGAGACAUUGUCAUCUUCUUAUAUCAAAUCCAUGAAAAGACUAUCAGGAUUUACUGUGUUAUGGGUAAUUGUUAUAGCUUUCAAGAAAAUUAUGAGAUAUUGUGUUCAAAUGCAUUUCAAAAUAAGUGAAGAGAUUCUAAGAAAAUGUGCAGUUCUCUUAUUUGGCUUUGGGCACCUUCUGAUUUUUAGGAGUUUCUGCAAAUAGCUGGCGAAAAAAAAGACUCUAGAUGCCAAUUUUCAUGGCAUGAGCAUGACGCACAUCAGUCAUCAAACAUCAUUAUAAGUGGCAUUUCAUAUAUAUUUUGAAAACCCAUUAGAUUCUUUAAUACUGUAAAUAAUAAGUUAGUUUUAAAAAACUCAAAAAUUCUAAAACCAAAAACAAAGCUUGAAAGUUUGAACCAGUUGUUAUUAACGAUGUAUUUUCAUGGAAUUCUAUGAAUAAUUUUAUCUAAUGUCCUUGAAGUACUUCUAAAUAUGAAUGAUGAACUGGAUUAUAAUUCAAAGUUAAAAAAAAUGUUUUAUUACACUCAUUUCAAAUUCGAUAUAGACAUAUUUAUAAUAUGGCGACAAUAUAUAUAUAUAUAUAUUAAAUACAAAAAUAUUUUUCAAAAUCCGGGCGUAGCCCGGAAGAAUCUCUAGUAAACUAUAAUAAGUUUUUAAUUUUCAAACUGCAAAUGGUAAUUAACCGAUAAAGAGCUGUAAACUAAAUUAAUCAUCACUUUAAAGAACGUGUUAAUGUGUAAUCAACGGUAUCAUAUUAUAAAGUUGUGGCCAUGUGUGAUAUAUUCAUAUAUUUAAUGCAUGCCACCAAGCAGAGCGUGAUGCGUCUCUAUCGUUUGUUGGAUCCCACUUGUGUGCCUGCAUUAGAUUGGAUCUAAUAAGAAAAAAAAGAUUAUAGGAUUCGACCAAAAAUAAUAACAAAAAAAUUAUAGGUAAAUAAAAUUGAUAAUACAUAUAUGUAGAGAUCUUGACAAACAAAAAAAUACAUAUAUGUAGAGAUCGAUGCAUUUAUAUUUUUGCAUUUCCAAUUUAUGAAUUAGGUUUAUAAGCAAAAGUCAUCCUGAUGGAACGAUCGAAUCCAAUGCAUAUCCUCCUCUUUACUUUAUGCUUUUCAUGUGCCACACAUUUCAUUAUUAAGAGAACCCUCAAUGGGGGAAGGGGUUCUAACCAAAAAAUACUAAUAUAAAUAUAUACAUCCUUAUAUAUAUAUAUAUAAUUUUUUGAGUGAUGGUUCCAUAUUCGUCAUAGAGAAACUACAACCAAACAAACUUUUAGU
Long non-coding RNA from Brassica rapa (field mustard), 3022 nucleotides. RefSeq lists it as uncharacterized. The record is from RefSeq and is a predicted model, not a curated record. NCBI's taxonomy places the organism in Eukaryota, Viridiplantae, Streptophyta, Magnoliopsida, Brassicales, Brassicaceae.